This 494-nucleotide ribosomal RNA is filed under the name uncultured bacterium. RNAcentral's name for it is "partial 16S ribosomal RNA". It matches the Rfam family "Bacterial small subunit ribosomal RNA", at positions 29 to 507 of the family's 1533-position model. The record is from RNAcentral.
ACGAACGCUGGCGGCGUGCCUAAUCCAUGCAAGUAGAACGCUGAAGGAGGAGCUUGCUUCUCUGGAUGAGUUGCGAACGGGUGAGUAACGCGUAGGUAACCUGCCUGGUAGCGGGGGAUAACUAUUGGAAACGAUAGCUAAUACCGCAUAAGAGUAGAUGUUGCAUGACAUUUGCUUAAAAGGUGCAAUUGCAUCACUACCAGAUGGACCUGCGUUGUAUUAGCUAGUUGGUGGGGUAACGGCUCACCAAGGCGACGAUACAUAGCCGACCUGAGAGGGUGAUCGGCCACACUGGGACUGAGACACGGCCCAGACUCCUACGGGAGGCAGCAGUAGGGAAUCUUCGGCAAUGGACGGAAGUCUGACCGAGCAACGCCGCGUGAGUGAAGAAGGUUUUCGGAUCGUAAAGCUCUGUUGUAAGAGAAGAACGAGUGUGAGAGUGGAAAGUUCACACUGUGACGGUAUCUUACCAGAAAGGGACGGCUAACUACGUG